UGGGGAAUAUUGGACAAUGGGCGAAAGCCUGAUCCAGCCAUGCCGCGUGAGUGACGAAGGCCUUAGGGUUGUAAAGCUCUUUUGGCGGGGAAGAUAAUGACGGUACCCGCAGAAUAAGCUCCGGCUAACUUCGUGCCAGCAGCCGCGGUAAUACGAAGGGAGCUAGCGUUGUUCGGAAUCACUGGGCGUAAAGCGCACGUAGGCGGAUUGUUUAGUCAGGGGUGAAAUCCCGGAGCUCAACUUCGGAACUGCCUUUGAUACUGGCAAUCUCGAGUCCGAUAGAGGUGGGUGGAAUUCCUAGUGUAGAGGUGAAAUUCGUAGAUAUUAGGAAGAACACCGGUGGCGAAGGCGGCCCACUGGAUCGGUACUGACGCUGAGGUGCGAAAGCGUGGGGAGCAAACAGGAUUAGAUACCCUCGUAGUCCCUGAGCGGGCUGGCAAGGCGCAU
Molecule: ribosomal RNA, 447 nt
Filed under: uncultured bacterium
Lineage: Bacteria
Description: bacterial SSU rRNA
Rfam family: Bacterial small subunit ribosomal RNA
Source: RNAcentral